CUGCGGCAGCGAACGUAUCACUUAAAGCGAUUCAGCGGGUUACGAUUGACGGAGCGAAGCGACGUCAAAGCGUAUACAAAGUCGAGUCGGUUUAAGGAUACGUUCGUUGGGUAGGGGAGCGUUCUGUAAGCCUGCGAAGGUGGCCUGUGAGGGUUGCUGGAGGUAUCAGAAGUGCGAAUGCUGACAUAAGUAACGAUAAAGCGGGUGAAAAGCCCGCUCGCCGGAAGACCAAGGGUUCCUGUCCAACGUUAAUCGGGGCAGGGUGAGUCGACCCCUAAGGCGAGGCCGAAAGGCGUAGUCGAUGGGAAACGGGUUAAUAUUCCCGUACUUGGUGUUACUGCGAAGGGGGGACGGAGAAGGCUAUGUUGGCCGGGCGACGGUUGUCCCGGUUUAAGCGUGUAGGUGUGUGUUCCAGGUAAAUCCGGUUCACUUUAACACUGAGGCGUGACGACGAGGCACUACGGUGCUGAAGCAACAAAUGCCCUGCUUCCAGGAAAAGCCUCUAAGCAUCAGGUAACAUCAAAUCGUACCCCAAACCGACACAGGUGGUCAGGUAGAGAAUACCAAGGCGCUUGAGAGAACUCGGGUGAAGGAACUAGGCAAAAUGGUGCCGUAACUUCGGGAGAAGGCACGCUGACACGUAGGUGAAGUGAUUUACUCACGGAGCUGAAGUCAGUCGAAGAUACCAGCUGGCUGCAACUGUUUAUUAAAAACACAGCACUGUGCAAACACGAAAGUGGACGUAUACGGUGUGACGCCUGCCCGGUGCCGGAAGGUUAAUUGAUGGGGUCAGCGCAAGCGAAGCUCCUGAUCGAAGCCCCGGUAAACGGCGGCCGUAACUAUAACGGUCCUAAGGUAGCGAAAUUCCUUGUCGGGUAAGUUCCGACCUGCACGAAUGGCGUAAUGAUGGCCAGGCUGUCUCCACCCGAGACUCAGUGAAAUUGAACUCGCUGUGAAGAUGCAGUGUACCCGCGGCAAGACGGAAAGACCCCGUGAACCUUUACUAUAGCUUGACACUGAACAUUGAGCCUUGAUGUGUAGGAUAGGUGGGAGGCUUUGAAGUGUGGACGCCAGUCUGCAUGGAGCCGACCUUGAAAUACCACCCUUUAAUGUUUGAUGUUCUAACGUGGACCCGUGAUCCGGGUUGCGGACAGUGUCUGGUGGGUAGUUUGACUGGGGCGGUCUCCUCCUAAAGAGUAACGGAGGAGCACGAAGGUUGGCUAAUCCUGGUCGGACAUCAGGAGGUUAGUGCAAUGGCAUAAGCCAGCUUGACUGCGAGCGUGACGGCGCGAGCAGGUGCGAAAGCAGGUCAUAGUGAUCCGGUGGUUCUGAAUGGAAGGGCCAUCGCUCAACGGAUAAAAGGUACUCCGGGGAUAACAGGCUGAUACCGCCCAAGAGUUCAUAUCGACGGCGGUGUUUGGCACCUCGAUGUCGGCUCAUCACAUCCUGGGGCUGAAGUAGGUCCCAAGGGUAUGGCUGUUCGCCAUUUAAAGUGGUACGCGAGCUGGGUUUAGAACGUCGUGAGACAGUUCGGUCCCUAUCUGCCGUGGGCGCUGGAGAACUGAGGGGGGCUGCUCCUAGUACGAGAGGACCGGAGUGGACGCAUCACUGGUGUUCGGGUUGUCAUGCCAAUGGCACUGCCCGGUAGCUAAAUGCGGAAGAGAUAAGUGCUGAAAGCAUCUAAGCACGAAACUUGCCCCGA
Molecule: ribosomal RNA, 1702 nt
Filed under: Salmonella enterica
Lineage: Bacteria; Pseudomonadati; Pseudomonadota; Gammaproteobacteria; Enterobacterales; Enterobacteriaceae
Description: partial 23S ribosomal RNA
Rfam family: Bacterial large subunit ribosomal RNA
Source: RNAcentral